This 621-nucleotide ribosomal RNA is filed under the name Triticum aestivum (bread wheat). RNAcentral describes it as "partial small subunit ribosomal RNA". Lineage: Eukaryota; Viridiplantae; Streptophyta; Magnoliopsida; Poales; Poaceae. The record is from RNAcentral.
AUGCUGCGUGCGCACCUUCGACUACCUCUGGGCGCGAUGCUGCACCGCGUCCCCGUAUCUGCCCUCCUCGUCGACAAGGCAAUGGCAAUGGCAAUGCCAACGGUGGUGAUGGGGGGCGGGUACCGCCCGCGGCGGAGCCUGCACGGCGGCGGCGGGGACUCGCCGAGCAAGUGGAGGAAGCCGGAGGCGGGGCGCCUGAAGCUCAACUUCGACGGGUCCUCCAGGCACGCGUCCCAGAGCGCGAGCAUCGGUGGCGUGUACCGGGACCACAAGGGCGAGUUCGUGCUGGGCUACGCGGAGCCGAUCGGUGCGGCGACGAGCUCCGUGGCCGAGCUCGCCGCGCUCCGGCGCGGGCUGGAGCUGGCACUGGAGAACGGGUGGAGCGGCGUCUGGGUCGAGGGCGACGACUUGUCGGCCGUGGAAGCCGCGCGGGGGAGCCACAGGCGCCCGCGCCUAGGCAGGGCGGAGGAGGACCUGAGGCUGUGGAAGGAGAUCGCCGAGCUGCUCCCGCUGCUCGGCGACGACAUGGCCGUGUCGCACGUGCGCCGGGGAGGGAACAGGGUGGCGCACGGGUUCGCGAAGCUCGGGCACAGCGUGCCGCGGCCGCGGGUGUUGCACUAG